This is an RNA transcript of Vidua macroura (Pin-tailed whydah), 3447 nucleotides long. It is a transcript of the gene named interferon alpha and beta receptor subunit 1, with no coding region annotated. The transcript is spliced from 12 exons. The record is from RefSeq and is a predicted model, not a curated record. NCBI's taxonomy places the organism in Eukaryota, Metazoa, Chordata, Aves, Passeriformes, Viduidae.
CGCGCAGGCGCCGCCGCCGUCGCUUCCGGCAGCGCUGCCCUGGAUGGCGGAGCCCGGGGCUGGAGCGGCGGCGGAGCCCGGGGAGGGAUGGACGGAGGAGCCCGGGGAGGGAUGGACGGAGGAGCCGGAGGAGCCGAGGGGCAGAUGGACGGCGGAGCGGCGGCGGCUGUGGGUGCCGGGCGGGCUCUGGCUGGCGGCCGUGCUGCCCCUGCUCCUGGUCCCGCUGCCCUGCGCAGGCCAGAGCCGCCUGCCGAGCCCGGGCCGGCCGCGGGUGCGCGCCGUCAACACCAACUUCUCCCUGCGCUGGGACUACGCGGGCGGCGGGCGCGGCGUCGCCUUCUCGGCGCAGUUCCAGUGGCCGGAGCAGAAGGACACGGGCUGGCGGGAGCUGCCGGGGUGCCAGGCUGUGGCUGGCACGGGCUGUGACAUCUCCUCGGCCAUCUCCGAGUACUACGAUGCCCACUACGUGCGCGUGAGGGCCCAGGCAGGGCCCCUGGUGUCCCCGUGGUCCGAGGUGCUGGAGAUGGUGCCGGAGCACGUCGCUCAGAUUGGUCCACCGGGACUGGAAUUGCAGUCCACAAAUGGAGUCAUAAAAGUUAGGGUUUCUCCUCCAGAAGCAAAUCAGAGCAAAAAAAUGUGGAUCAAUGAUCUGAGUUUUAAAUAUAACCUGGUCUUCUGGGAAAACUCAUCUCAUGCUCAGCUCCAGAGUAAAACCAUUUUCCCUGUUGACACCAUUCAUGACCUUGCCCCAGACAGCACCUAUUGCUUCAAAGUCCAAGCAAAUCUCCCCAGGGAGGGAAAGGAAGGCUUGUUCAGCCCCAUCAGCUGUGUGAAAACCACCCAGAAAGUGAACGACCUCCUGUGUGCAACCAACCUGAGUGUCCUGGCUUUGAACAUGAAAUUCCACCUGCUUUGGGAUGCCCAGGAAAACCAGGAUGUGAGCUACAGCGUGCAGUACCUCCUUGGGUUCUGGAAGAAGCUCAAUGAUGAUUACUCAGACAAGUGGCUCAGUGUCCCCACGUGUGAGAACAUCAUCAGCACCUGGUGCAACUUCUCCUCCAUCAUCAGCCCCUCUGGAUUUUAUUACCUGCGAGUGCAGGCCAGGGAGGGACACAACAAAUCCUGCUUCUCCAGGGAAGUCAAAGUGGAUCCUCUGAAAACAAAUGGAAUUGGCCCUCCUGGUGUAAGGCUGGACCUCAGUGACACUUUGCUCCACAUCGUUAUUUCUCCUCCAGGAGGAGCUGAGGAGGAAGUCAUGAGGGACCAUUAUGAUUUGUCCUACAGGAUCCUGUACUGGAAGAAUUCCUCAGAUAUGAAGGAGGAGGUGAAGCAGAAGGAGGUGAAGCAGACCAUAGCCACAGUCCCUGAUGUGUCCCCCUCCACCCUGUACUGUGUCAAAGUCCAGGCCUUCUCUGAGCCCUACAACAAAAGCAGUGCCUACAGCCAGCAGGAAUGCAUCCACACCCCUGCAGGUACACCUUUACCUCUGAUCUAUUUUGGGAUUUUCAUGGGUGCCCUGCUGCUUGUCCUGCUGGUGGCCACUCCUCUUAUUUUUGUGUUCUACCAAGCCUACAGCAAAAUCAAAUAUGUGUUCUUCCCCACCUGCCAGCCCCCCCUGAACAUCGAGGGAUUUGGAGCACAGCCCUUCAGCAGCCCUUACCUGUCAGCUGCAGAGGAAUCUGUGGAAAAUUGCUGUGUGAUUGAAUCCAUGGUCACAGAAGAGGGAAAUCAGAUUGUUUUCACAGACUACAAACAUUCCAAACAGAGCAGUCGAGACUCAGGGAAUUAUUCCAACGACGACAACACUUCCGGGAGCAAAGGAUCCAAAGAAACCCUGGAAAAGGAAAUGGUGUAACUUUGGGAAAUCAGAAUUCCUUUAUGGGAUUGUCAGCUUCACGAACACUUCAAACUUCUUUGUGAUGGAAAUCCCAGCCUGAGGGGGACAGCUGUGACCUUUGGGAUCCUCAGGUGGACACUGUGACCUUUGGGAUCCUCUGGGGGACACUGUGACCUUUGGGAUUGUGAGGGGACACUGUGACCUUUGGGAUUGCUGGGUUUGGGUUCCCAGAGCUGCCCUGGCUGGGGGAGCUCCUCAGCCCUGGCUGGAAAUGACCCUGAUGUCCCCUUCCCACCCAGGGCUGUCCCUCUGCACCGGGAGCAGCUUUGGGCACUUCUUACUUGAAGCUGUGAGCUGAGCAAAACCUGCCUGCUCCAGCAGAGUUCCAUGUGGAGUUACUCCAGUGUUUACACAGCUAAAGGCAAUCCAUGCUGGACACAAACCUGUGGAAUUUUCACUUGCUCUUCCAGCCCCUGGGCAGGGCUUGGCUCACCAGGUCCAGAGCUAAAGGUGAUAGGAGAGGUUUCCUCACAGGGGUUUCCUCACAGGGAUUCCUCACAGGGUUCCUCACAGGAUUCCUCACAGGGAUUCCUCACAGGGAUUCCUCACAGGGAUUCCUCACAGGGAUUCCUCACAGGGUUCCUCACAGGAUUCCUCACCGGGAUUCCUCACAGGGUUCCUCACAGGGUUCCUCACAGGGUUCCUCACAGGGUUCCUCACAGGAUUCCUCAGGAGGUUCCUCACAGGGAUUCAUCACAGGGUUCCUCAGGAGGUUCCUCAAAGGAUUCCUCACAGGGAUUCCUCACAGGAUUCCUCAGGAGGUUCCUCACAGGGAUUCCUCACAGGGAUUCCUCAGGAGUUUCCUCACAGGGAUUCCUCACCGGGUUCCUCACAGGGUUCCUCACAGGGUUCCUCAGGAGGUUCCUCACAGGGAUUCCUCACCGGGUUCCUCACAGGAUUCCUCACAGGGAUUCCUCACAGGGUUCCUCACAGGGAUUCCUUAUGGGGUUCCUCACAGGGAUUCCACACAGGAUUCCUCAUGGAUUUGGCUGGGAAUGUUCCCAGUGCUUGUUCCAUGUCUCACUCCUGUCCCUGGCAGUGCCCAAGGCCAGGUUGGACACUGGGGCUGGAGCAGCCUGGGGCAGUGGGAGGUGUCCCUGCCAUGGCAGGGUGGCACUGGGUGGGAUUUCGGGUCUCUCCAAACUCAUUCUGGAAUUAGCAGGACCCCGGUGGAAUUUAGGAAAUGCCUUUAGCAGGGGGCUGAGCUUGGCACUCAGAGCUUUCCUUCUUUUGCCAACAGACUUUUCUUUGGACAAACAAUCAGGAUGUGCUGCAGUAAAAUUUCAGUAUUCGUAUUCCAUUUUUCCAUGCUGACUCCACUGUCUUCUGGAGCCUUUUUUUUUAAGUACCUUAUUUUUUUAUGAAGAAACUGCUUUGGAGUCAGCUGAGUUUGAGCAUCCCAUGGGCUGCUGUUGUUCUAUCUAGGAACUCUUGGUGGUUAUGUAACUUUUUUUUUUUUUUUUAAAUUUUGAAGGUAUUACCUAAUUUUAUAAAUUUCCUAUCCCUGUGUUCAUUGAAGAACAUAAUAAAUUUUGCACAUUUGCUUCUUA